This is a long non-coding RNA of Monopterus albus (swamp eel), 511 nucleotides long. RefSeq lists it as uncharacterized. The record is from RefSeq and is a predicted model, not a curated record. NCBI's taxonomy places the organism in Eukaryota, Metazoa, Chordata, Actinopteri, Synbranchiformes, Synbranchidae. The transcript is spliced from 3 exons.
AGAGAGCUGCAGCACCCUUUACCGUAGCGUAGCGUGCACUGGAUAACAAACAGCCAUUGGAAUUCACUCAAAAUGGACAACAGCCCUCUCAUGCCCGGCUACAUGAGAGCAACAUGAAGCAUGGAUGACCUAAGUGACUUCUUGAGACAGAGAAAUGUUCCUGAGGAAACCAUAGAGACCCUGGAACAUGAGAAGAUUGAUGCCAGCACCAUACUGCUGAUGACAGAUGAAGAAUUAAAAACCUACUUGCCAUCAUAUGGUGACCGCAUUGCAGCGUUACGAUUUUGUAGGAGGAAAGAAAGCGGCCACAACACUCGAACACUCGGAAAUCAAAGCUUUUGCAGCGCCUGAAAACAAAAUUAUCCAAAAGAAAACAUUGCGAUGAAGGAGGCAGCAGCACACAGGAAGGGGACCAUUCCCAACCACCUCAAAGACAGAGUGUUAUGAAGAAAAACAGAAAAAUUGAAAUAGGAUGGAUGAAUUAUGAUGAUGAAAAAGAGGAUUUUAAGCA